UACGAGGGGGGCAAGCGUUGUUCGGAAUUAUUGGGCGUAAAGGGUGCGUAGGCGGUCUGAUAAGUCAUCUGUGAAAUCUAUGGGCUCAACCCAUAGUCUGCAGGCGAAACUGUCGGGCUUGAGUAUGGGAGAGGUGAGUGGAAUUCCUGGUGUAGCGGUGAAAUGCGUAGAUAUCAGGAGGAACACCUGUGGUGUAGACGGCUUUCUGGACCAUAACUGACGCUGAGACACGAAAGCGUGGGUAGCAAACAGG
Molecule: ribosomal RNA, 253 nt
Filed under: uncultured bacterium
Lineage: Bacteria
Description: partial 16S ribosomal RNA
Rfam family: Bacterial small subunit ribosomal RNA
Source: RNAcentral